AUGCCAACCGUACUACUUGUACUGAUGAUGGCACUGCGGCUCCUCCUCGUAGGAGGAGUAGUGGUCGCCGGUGGCCCGGGACCGGGAGUCCUGCCUGGCUGCCCAGAAGCCUGUGGCAGCAUCGCCAUCCCCUACCCUUUCGGCAUCGGCCUAGGCUGCUCCCGCCUGGGCUUCAACCUCACCUGCGACGACACGCAUGAUCCACCUAAGCUCUUCUUGGGCGACGACGUGGAAGUGGACGCCAUCUCCCUGGCGGACGGCACGGUGCGAGUCCGGACCCUGGUCAUGGACGGCUCCUUCUCCGUGAACCUGACCGCCCUAGCGGCAGCGAGCGUCGGCGUCGGGAAGCCAUCUCUCAACUCCAGCGGCUCUUGGUCCGGUGGCCUAACAGGCCCCGGCGUGCAGCAGCUCGCCGUGUCCACCCAGCACAACGUCUUCGUGGCCAUCGGAUGUAACUUCAUCGCCCACCUCGUUGGCGAUUCCGACCCUGCAACUGCAGGCGGUAAGGGUCCCCAUCCCCUGUACUACGUCAGCGCAUGCGCCGUGCUGUGCGAAAGAGAUGAUGAUCGGUCGUCCUUGGGCGACCCGUGCUCUGGCUUUGGAUGCUGCCAGACGACCAUCGGGCGGGGCUUACCCUCCUACGGGUUGCUGUUCAAGGAUUUGGACCAGGCUAAUGGUUCAGCGGUGGGCGCAUUCAUAAUCGAUCGCGAGUGGUUCACCGGGAUUAACGUAUCCGCGUCCAUGGAUAUCCCUGGCAUGCGGUGGGACUCGUGGAACGAUGUUGGUCGCUAUGUCUAUGGAUAUGGUAUGCAUCCGCGUCCCAAGGUGCCCACCGUGCUGGAAUGGUGGCUGGACGUAGAAAGAGACGGUGACUUGCUCGUGUUGGGUGAUCCCCUUUCACGUCGGAGAUGCAUAAGCUUGAACAGCUUCGCUACCGACGUUUCCUAUGGCUCAGGCACAGGGUACAUCCUCAGGUGCGACUGCUCCGAGGGAUACCAAGGCAACCCUUACCUUGUUGAUGGAUGCCAAGAUAUCGACGAGUGCCAGGGUCAUAACGAUGCAUAUCCAUGUGUGGACGGGACAACCUGCAUCAAUAUGCCAGGGUCAUACCGAUGCCCAGAAAAGAAAGGGUUCAUUAGCCUCUCAGGUUUAAUUACCGUAGUUGCAAUUAGUGGUGGUCUGUGGUUACUGCUUUCACUUCUGGGUGUUGCAAAAAUCACCAAUAAACUCAAGCAACAGAGAGUCAAGAAGUCAAGACAAAAAAAUUUCAAGAAAAACCAUGGGUUGCUUCUACAACAGUUAAUCUCUUCAAACAAAGAUAUAGCCGAGAGAACAAAGCUUUUUAGCUUGGAAGAACUGGGGCAAGCAACCAACAAAUUUGAUCAUAAUCGCAUCCUUGGUGGCGGUGGUCAUGGCACGGUGUACAAAGGCAUCUUAUUUGAUCAACGUAUCGUGGCCAUCAAGAAGGCCAAAAUUGUGGUUCAGAGCGAAAUCGACCAGUUCCUCAAUGAGGUUGUCAUACUUUCCCAAACAAACCAUAGGAACGUGGUCAAGCUCUUUGGUUGUUGCCUUGAGGCAGAAGUUCCUCUACUAGUUUAUGAGUUCGUAUCAAAUGGAACUCUCUCCUUCCAUCUUCACGGACAAACCGAGAACCAUUUGCCAUGGCGAGAUAGGUUGAGGAUUGCAUUGGAAACUGCAAGGUCCAUUGCGUAUCUCCACUCGGCUGCUUCCAUAUCAGUAUACCAUAGAGAUAUCAAAUGUGCAAACAUACUACUUACCGAUACCUUAACAGCAAAAGUAUCAGAUUUUGGAGCUUCAAGGUCACUUGCAAUAAACGAGACAGGAAUACUUACAGCAGUCCAAGGAACUUAUGGUUACCUUGAUCCUGAAUACUACUACACUAGCUGACUCACGGAGAAGAGUGAUGUUUAUAGCUUUGGUGUUAUCCUAGCAGAGCUACUGACAAGGGUGAAACCUGUUUUUUCUUCUCAUUCGUCGGAACUAACAAGCCUAGCAUCAUAUUUCGUGUCACUUAUAAGAGACAACCGCUUGUUAGAUAUUCUAGAUUCAAAAAUUGUUGAAGAGGGAGGGGUUGAUGAUGCCAAGGUCGUUGCAAGACUCGCAGAAGCAUGCUUAAGUUUAAAAGGUGAAGAAAGGCCUACAAUGAGGCAAGUGGAGACAACACUUGAAGAUGUGCACAACUCAAAGGCCCAUCUCAGUUCUCAUAUUACAAGGGUGAACCAAAAUGUUGUAUAUGAUCUAUCAUACAAGGGAAGCAAAGCCAAUGAUGGAACUAGACUGUACAGCUUGGAAAAAGAGUUCAUCCAAUCAUCUGAAAUUCCUAGAUGA
Molecule: ribosomal RNA, 2349 nt
Filed under: Triticum aestivum (bread wheat)
Lineage: Eukaryota; Viridiplantae; Streptophyta; Magnoliopsida; Poales; Poaceae
Description: partial small subunit ribosomal RNA
Source: RNAcentral